RNAcentral lists this small RNA (532 nucleotides) under Pan troglodytes (chimpanzee). RNAcentral describes it as "retained intron". The record is from RNAcentral. Lineage: Eukaryota; Metazoa; Chordata; Mammalia; Primates; Hominidae.
ACUAACUAAAGAAGCCUAACAGUAAAUGGCAGCUGGUGUGUGUGUGUGACCCUGUUGCUCUGCUUCCUCCAGGGACACAGCCAACACGGUGAAGGAAAAGUUCGGGAGGAAGCUUUAUGAAUCCUUACUGGUUGGGAGCCUUCCCGACAUGAACAAGAUGCUGGAUAAGGAAGACUUCACUAUGAUGAAGAGAGCCAUCUUUGCAACGCAGCGGCAGUCUUUCCCCCCUGUGUGCACCCACAAUAUGCUGGAUGACUCCUCAGACCCCAUCCUGACCACCAUCCGCCGAAUCGGCCUCUUCAAUAGCAGUGCCGACAGGGUGAAGGUGAUUUUCCACCCGGAGUUCCUCUCCUCCACAAGCCCCCUGCUCCCUGUGGACUAUGAGGAGUUUGUCCGUGGCUGUCACCUUGGAGUCUUCCCCUCCUACUAUGAGCCUUGGGGCUACACGCCGGCUGAGUGCACGGUUAUGGGAAUCCCCAGUAUCUCCACCAAUCUCUCCGGCUUCGGCUGCUUCAUGGAGGAACACAUCGCA